AGCAGCAUGGCGCAGCUGGAAGCGCGCGGGGCCCAUACUUAUCGUAACAACGGUGAAACCCCGAGGUCACUCGAUCGAAACGAGUUGCUGCUA
Molecule: non-coding RNA, 93 nt
Organism: Mycena olivaceomarginata
Lineage: Eukaryota; Fungi; Basidiomycota; Agaricomycetes; Agaricales; Mycenaceae
Source: the annotation of a GenBank genome assembly